UGAUCCGGUUACCCUGAAAUUACAAAAAAACCCCUUAUAUAUAUAUAGUUGUAAACCCUAAGUCCUUAACCCAUCCGCUUCUCAUAAUCUGAUCUCAUUUCACGCCUCAGCCUCACACCCUAACCCUUAAUCUCUUUGUCACUCAUGCAGCCACGCACAAGAGCACGCAGCCACGCAUAAGAGCACGGUUGGGUAAGGAUCAGUGGGUUUCGUCUCUCACCAUUUGGGUCAUUGGAUUAGUUUCUCAGUUCUCACCGUUUGAGAAUUGGUUAUGGAGUGAAAUCAACGGUUCUUCAACUAUGUCUGGAGAUUGUACACUUCAAUCAAUUCUUGAUGAUGGGGAAGCCUAAUGAAGAGGAUGGGAGUUGUGUAACAAUUGUGAAGGAUUAGACAUUUUGAAUUAAUUUAGUAGCCUUUUUAAAUUCUUAGAUUUGUUGGAUUAAUUUGUUGGUUUGUGAUUAUUCUAAGCCUUUUUAGCCUUUUGUAAUUUCUUAGCCUUUUUAAUUUGUUGGUUUG
This is a long non-coding RNA of Quercus lobata, 516 nucleotides long. RefSeq lists it as uncharacterized. The record is from RefSeq and is a predicted model, not a curated record. Lineage: Eukaryota; Viridiplantae; Streptophyta; Magnoliopsida; Fagales; Fagaceae. The transcript has 3 exons.